AGUAGUGUAAGAGAGGUCAUGUUUAGAGAGAAAGAGAGCUUUCGUCUUUCGACAUGCUCUCUUUAUCUCUGAACAUUACUUCUCUUGUUCUAUU
This is a non-coding RNA of Marchantia polymorpha subsp. ruderalis, 94 nucleotides long. NCBI's taxonomy places the organism in Eukaryota, Viridiplantae, Streptophyta, Marchantiopsida, Marchantiales, Marchantiaceae. The record is from the annotation of a GenBank genome assembly.